This 505-nucleotide ribosomal RNA is filed under the name Neoacrodictys elegans. RNAcentral's name for it is "eukaryotic LSU rRNA". It matches the Rfam family "Eukaryotic large subunit ribosomal RNA", at positions 121 to 655 of the family's 3401-position model. Lineage: Eukaryota; Fungi; Ascomycota; Dothideomycetes; Kirschsteiniotheliales; Kirschsteiniotheliaceae. The record is from RNAcentral.
UCUGGCAACGUCCGAGUUGUAAUUUGCAGAGGAGGCUUUGGAGUCGCCCCCGGUCCGAGUUCCUUGGAACAGGACGUCGCAGAGGGUGAGAAUCCCGUACAUGGCCGGGCGGCUUCUCCCUGCAAGGCCCCUUCGACGAGUCGAGUUGUUUGGGAAUGCAGCUCUAAAUGGGAGGUAAAUUUCUUCUAAAGCUAAAUACCGGCCAGAGACCGAUAGCGCACAAGUAGAGUGAUCGAAAGAUGAAAAGCACUUUGAAAAGAGAGUCAAAAAGUACGUGAAAUUGUUGAAAGGGAAGCGUUUGCAGCCAGACUUGGCGGCAGUUGCUCAGCCGGUCUCUGCCCGGUGCACUCUCCUGCUGACAGGCCAGCAUCAGUUUGGGCGGCUUGAUAAAGGCAUUGGGAACGUGGCUCCUCGGAGUGUUAUAGCCCUCUGCACAAUGCGGCCAGCCUGGACUGAGGACCGCGGUUCACGGAUGCUGGCUUAAUGGCUGCCAACGGCCCGUCUU